RNAcentral lists this ribosomal RNA (406 nucleotides) under uncultured bacterium. RNAcentral's name for it is "partial 16S ribosomal RNA". It matches the Rfam family "Bacterial small subunit ribosomal RNA", at positions 30 to 526 of the family's 1533-position model. The record is from RNAcentral.
AUUGAACGCUGGCGGCAGGCCUAACACAUGCAAGUCGAACGAGUGGCGGACGGGUGAGUAAUGUCUGGGAAUCUGCCUGAUGGAGGGGGAUAACUACUGGAAACGGUAGCUAAUACCGCAUAUUCUUCUGACCGCCUAUAUGUGAUUAGCUAGUUGGUGGGGUAAAGGCAGACCAAGGCGAAGAUCAGUAGCGGGUCUGAGAGGAUGAUCAGCCACACUGGGACGGAGACACGGCCCAGACUCCUACGGGAGGCAGCAGUGGGGAAUGUUGCACAAUGGGCGCAAGCCUGAUCCAGCCAUGCCGCGUGUGUGAAGAAGGCCUUCGGGUUGUAAAGCACUUUCAGCGGGGAGGCGUUACCCGCAGAAGAAGCACCGGCUAACUCCGUGCCAGCAGCCGCGGUAAUUC